RNAcentral lists this ribosomal RNA (253 nucleotides) under uncultured bacterium. Its description in RNAcentral is "partial 16S ribosomal RNA". It matches the Rfam family "Bacterial small subunit ribosomal RNA", at positions 524 to 776 of the family's 1533-position model. The record is from RNAcentral.
UACGAAGGGUGCAAACGUUGCUCGGAAUCAUUGGGCGUAAAGCGCACGUAGGCGGCCUCGCAAGUUGGAUGUGAAAUCCCUCGGCUCAACCGAGGACGUGCAUCCAAAACUGCUUGGCUUGAGUACUGAAGAGGAUCGCGGAAUUCCAGGUGUAGCGGUGAAAUGCGUAGAUAUCUGGAGGAACACCGGUGGCGAAGGCGGCAUCCUGGACCGGCAUUGACGCUGAGGCGCGAAAGCCAGGGGAGCAAACGGG